Molecule: ribosomal RNA, 440 nt
Filed under: uncultured bacterium
Lineage: Bacteria
Description: partial 16S ribosomal RNA
Rfam family: Bacterial small subunit ribosomal RNA
Source: RNAcentral
CCUACGGGCGGCAGCAGUGGGGGAUAUUGCUCAAUGGGCGAAACCCUGAUCCAGCGACGCCGCGUGAGUGAAGAAGUAUUUCGGUAUGUAAAGCUUUUUCAGUAGGGAAGAAAAUGACAGUACCUGACCAAGAAGCCCCGGCUAACUACGUGCCAGCAGCCGCAGUACUACGGAGGGGGCCAGCGUCAUCCGGAUUUACUGGGUGUAAAGGGAGCGUAGACGGUUUUGUAAGGCAGGAGUGAAAGCCCGGGGCCCAACCCCGGGACUGCUGUUGAAACUGUGUAACUGGAGUACAGGAGGGGCAGGCGGAAUGCCUGGUGUAGCGGUGAAAUGCGUAGAUAUCAGGAGGAACACCGACGGCGAAGGCGGCCUGCUGGACUGAAACUGACGUUGAGGCUCGAAAGCGUGGGGAGCAAACAGGAUUAGAUACCCCUGUAGUC